Juglans regia (Persian walnut) is the source of this 964-nucleotide long non-coding RNA. RefSeq lists it as uncharacterized. The transcript is spliced from 3 exons. The record is from RefSeq and is a predicted model, not a curated record. Lineage: Eukaryota; Viridiplantae; Streptophyta; Magnoliopsida; Fagales; Juglandaceae.
UUCCACUUUCCUCUCAAACAGGGUUCACAUGCAUCUGCAUCUAUCCAGUUGAGUCCCUUCCUCCCCGUCUCCAUCACUUCCCUCUGUCCAUGAUCCACCUUCAGAUCCCUUCAUUUCUGUCUUCGUCUCCCUCACACAAAUCAGAUCUUUUACCCACACUUCUCUCCCUCUGUCUGUCUGUAAACCACCUCUGUCUGUUGCCCUCACUCCCAUCUCUCACCCUCAAGGCCGCACCGUAGCCAUCUUACUCUCACUUCUCUCCCUAUGCCAAAUCCCUCUCCCCCGUCGAUACCAUCCCUCGAGAAAUCCCUUAAUAGAUCUCAGAAAUUUUCCUCAAAAUCCACUUCACGAUAAAGCCCUAACACUGGCCACCAUUUCAUUUGUAUUUUUGUUGGGAUAAAGAGAUGAGCUGUUGUGUGGAAAUGAUGCUUCCGUAUCACAAUGACAUUACUUCCACAUUACUCAACUCGCUCUCCGCCUCUCUUCGCAGCACCAAGUUGGAGUCCUGAAGGCUUGUAGGAUCACUUAACAUUGAGGAAGCCUAUGGAUACUAGUUCCAGUAGCUAGCCUAUGGAUACGAUCAUAAUAGGCCUCUCGGUUUCUCAAAAUUUUGCAGGGAAAAUCAAGUUAUCAAUUCUUCAUAUAGGCCGAUAUACUUCAAUUGAUAAAAGAGAAAUUUAUAACAAAAGAAAAUGCACUCCAAAAUAGAGAAGAUGAUUUAUUGUUGCGCGAGUAUGAAGUGUCAAGAAAAUAAGAUAAACUAAUACAAAGAGAGAACGAUUUGAACAUCCAAAUGGAGGAAGUUUGAAUGUGGGUCGUAGAGAGUAGAUGUGGCCGUAUAUUAUUGUGUCUGUAUUGGGUUUUUUCUAUUGUAAUAGUUUUUUGUUUGUUCAGAUGAUAGAUGUAUCGACUGUUAUUGUAAUUGCAUACUUCUCUAUGAAUAUUUUGUAAUUAUGGAAUGAUU